UCUGAAUCUGCGAACGGCUCCGCAAACCAGUUGUAAACUAUUGCUAGCACGCUCAUCGUCUUCGGAUGGUGGGCUAUAAGGAUAACCCUGGUAAUUCUGAGGCUAAUACUCGACCGUAAAACUCGCUGGUCUGGGUAACUGGUAAGGCGAGGGACGUGUAAUUGAUCGCAGGAGAUGCCGGGAAAGGAUGCACGUUCUGACCACCAUACAAACAGUAUCCUGGAAGCUCGCAAGGGCAGAAGGGUGUCUGGGUGGCUCUAGCAUUGUGCUUCUGACCUAUCAACUAGAUGGCAGUGUAAGGGACAUGCCAUGGU
This 314-nucleotide ribosomal RNA is filed under the name Nannengaella alpestris. Its description in RNAcentral is "SSU rRNA". It matches the Rfam family "Eukaryotic small subunit ribosomal RNA", at positions 80 to 350 of the family's 1831-position model. The record is from RNAcentral. Lineage: Eukaryota; Evosea; Eumycetozoa; Physariida; Physaraceae.